Molecule: ribosomal RNA, 253 nt
Filed under: uncultured bacterium
Lineage: Bacteria
Description: partial 16S ribosomal RNA
Rfam family: Bacterial small subunit ribosomal RNA
Source: RNAcentral
UACGGGGGGGGCAAGCGUUGUUCGGAAUUACUGGGCGUAAAGGGCCAGUAGGCGGCCAACUAAGUCCGACGUGAAAUCCCUAGGCUUAACCUAGGAACUGCGUCGGAUACUGGAUGGCUUGAAUCCGGGAGAGGGAUGUGGAAUUCCAGGUGUAGCGGUGAAAUGCGUAGAUAUCUGGAGGAACACCGGUGGCGAAGGCGACAUCCUGGACCGGUAUUGACGCUGAGGCGCGAAAGCCAGGGGAGCAAACGGG